AACAAACAGUUCCAUGAAAUGCAAGAAAAGAAGAGUUGUGAUGUACAGAUUUGCCAAACUUAGCUGCUGUUAUUUCAGAAGAUAAAAGUGUGCAUCUAUAAGGACAAGGCCUGCAAAUGGAGCAUUUAUCUCAGCACACUCCCUGAGAUGCUGAUUUCUGCACUGGUACCUAAGCUGCAGGUCUGGAGGAAGUCUGUCCAGGAUGAGACAGAAGGACUCUUUGGGCAAUGGAGGAAUCCCCAAGAAAAGAAGUGGAAUUUGCUGCAUCAGUCCCUGGUCAAAUGAAGAUGAGCAGAAACAUUCUGCUGGUGUGAAUAUGCUCAGGGAUUUAAUUAGCAACAGUGACAAAAGAACAGACAUGGAAACAUGAAAUUAAUUUAAGCUAAGUAUGCAAACCUGCUCUUGCAGUGGGUCACUCAGUGACUUUUAAAACAAAUGU
Molecule: long non-coding RNA, 439 nt
Organism: Taeniopygia guttata (zebra finch)
Lineage: Eukaryota; Metazoa; Chordata; Aves; Passeriformes; Estrildidae
Source: RefSeq, a predicted model, not a curated record